This 253-nucleotide ribosomal RNA is filed under the name uncultured bacterium. Its description in RNAcentral is "partial 16S ribosomal RNA". It matches the Rfam family "Bacterial small subunit ribosomal RNA", at positions 524 to 776 of the family's 1533-position model. The record is from RNAcentral.
UACAGAGGAUGCAAGCGUUAUCCGGAAUGAUUGGGCGUAAAGCGUCUGUGGGUGGCUUUUUAAGUCCGCCGUCAAAUCCCAGGGCUCAACUCUGGACAGGCGGUGGAAACUACCAAGCUGGAGUACGGUAGGGGCAGAGGGAAUUUCCGGUGGAGCGGUGAAAUGCGUAGAGAUCGGGAGGAACAUCAGUGGCGAAGGCGGCCAUCUGGGACAACACUGACGCUGAAGCACGAAAGCGUGGGGAGCAAACAGG